This is a non-coding RNA of Sus scrofa (pig), 2914 nucleotides long. The record is from RefSeq and is a predicted model, not a curated record. Lineage: Eukaryota; Metazoa; Chordata; Mammalia; Artiodactyla; Suidae.
GACAGCCCAUCCCCCCCCCCGAAAAAAGAGAAUUAUGUGGUCCCAAAUGUCAAUAAUCCUGACACUGAGUCUAUGGAAAUGAAAAGUUAGGCUGCAUUUGGGAAGUUGUUUUGUUCUCAGUGGUAAAAGCUUAGGAUAUGUACAGUUUGGAAAGUCACUAUGGUUGGAAGGAAAAGUUGGGCUAUUGUGAAGGUUCCGUAAUGCUUGAUCGCAGAGAGUGAUGGAUGCAGAUCAGAUGAAGUUGCUUUCACUUAUUGUAAUAAGUGGGGAGGAAAGCCAUGGCAAGUUUCUGGGCUGAGGCUGAAGUUGGUGGCAAAAUAGAACUGUAUUUUAGAGAGAUGCACCCAGUGACUUCUGCAACAUGAGAGGAAUAGGGAGUGAGUAGAAGUGGGAAAUUUUAGAUUGGAAGUCAUUGGAGUGUCAAUGAGGGCUGAUUACAAUGGAGAUAGGUCAGAAAGAGGAAUGGGUGUCAAGUCUCUGCAGAGGACAUGACUUUGGGAUGUGGCUUCUAGAAGGUUGAGGAAUGGAAGAAGGGAAGGCCAUUCCAAAGGUGAGGGCUUUGGCACUGGCGCUGGCAUCCAGGACACACACACAGAGCAGACAGAGGAAGUUAGGGGAAAGAAAAGAAACGUGGCUUUGGGCACGUUGUGGUUGCGAUACUGGCAGGUCCUCCAGUUGGGUCCCCUUAGCUGGUGAAUGAAACUAUGAGUCAGGUGCUCAGAGCCGUGACUGGGCCUGGGGACCACACUAACAUCUUUCUCCUAAGCCAGCAGAGAGGUCCAAAACUGGCAACCUGCAGGCCCCAUCUGCACUACAGAUGUGUUUUGUUUGGCCCGCAUCAUGUUUUAGAGUUCUUUAAAAUUUCUAACAACAUACACACUGAGAGACUGCAUAUAGAAACCCAUCUUUUUUAGCUUGUCUUGAAAUAUCAGAGCAUCUGGCAAUUCUGGGUUCUUGUUUUGGCAUGGCAGCAGCCUGAGCUGAGGCUCAGCUGCCCCCUGUAGAUGGGGCACGCUGUCUCUGGGUUGCCCCCAUCCGCCUUUCCCCAGUAAUUUCACCUGGCCCAUACCACCAGUGCUUUUACCACCUGCUUCAAAUAUAAGUUUGUAACUUCUCUCUUAGGUUAUGAUUGAAUUAUUUACAUCCCUGUGAAAGGAAACUUUUGGGAGAAUGGCUCCCUCAACCUCUGCCCAUUUGCACCUCCUCCCUCCACCUUAACUUUACUUCAGUUGUGCCUUAUUUCCCUAGCAUCUUCUGGUACUCUAGACUGACUUCCUUUUGCUUCAGAGUUGCACAGGUCUCCCCGACCAGCAGAAUCCUCAUUUGCUCUUACUGCCACUUCCCCACCCCUCAGGAUACUUGGCCCUGGAACUCAAUACUUUUGGUGAAUAAAUGAAUGAUUACAUGAGUGAAUGAACCUGCUGCUGUCUCUGUAUUCCUUUGGAACCCCCAUAUUCUAGUGAGCUUUCUGAACACAUCUGUCUCCAACUUUCUUUUCCAAGCCACUUUCUUCUGAUCACCCUCUGAACCAGUUAGUUCUUCAACACCUCCCCACCUCCGCCGCUGCCACUGGUUUCCUUGCUCUUCGAACUUGGAGCCCAUGUAUUCAGGGGCAGCAGCUGUGGAUGUCCUGGAGGUGAGCCCUUCCCAUAAUCCCCCGCGGCUCUUUCAUUCUCUAGGUGGGAUCUGGACGCGUCCUCUGAGUACACAGGUUCAAACAGGCUGCAGGCCGUAUUAUGCGAAAUCAGGGAUACGGGCAGAUAAUUAACAUAGCAACUCUGGCAAGUUUAAUAGGUUCUCACUCACAGUGACAGCUAGCAGCGUCCAAAGUGCUGACAUGAUGACUUAGAGAUGUGAUAAAGAGAAAUACGUUCGGCAUUUUCUGUAAGUAACUGUGGUUCCUGCAUGGAGGGAACACACAGACACAUGUAAGCAGAUACUUGAUCUCGAGUUUCUUAAUUUAAGCGUCGCGAUUCCUAAUAAGCAGGUAGAUUGCAUCCAUUGUUAUUUUGUCUUUGCUUAUCAAUGAUGAUCAACCUUUGCUAAACAAAGAUGUGUAAUCCAGCUGGGGAUACUCAGGAAUUUUUUUUUUUUAAGGUUUUAACAUUUGAUAAUAGGUUUUCCAAUAGUUUGAAGGGUAGCUUUUAACAUUUCUUUUCCAGCUGAAGUAUUUCCUGAGUUCUGUCCAAGCCCUCUGUAGUUAAAGAAAAGGCUUUUUGACACUUAAUAGACAAUGUUGUGGCUUUUUUCUCUUCUGAAGACAAAUGUAUAGGCAUUUAAACAACCACAUGGUACUAUGGUAAUUGAGACACCUUUCAGAAAUGGCAAUUAUAGGGUGACUUGUGUCAAAAAUAUUCAGAAUAAAUUUUAGUUUGCCUAAUUUUUAAAAACUUUCAAAGGUACUGCUCUCUUUAUUCUCUUUCUUUCUCUCUCUCUCCCCUCUUUCCCCUUUGGUUCUUUAAGUAUAAAGUAAAUGCAUUGCAUUUUCACAUUUUUUCCAAGUUUUCCCAGGUUUUCUUUGAGUUUAGAGAAAGUCCAAAGACCCAGAGCAAAACAAUCAGUGAGGACUAAGGUGUUCUUCUCUGUUCCUGACAUGAAAACAAAACAGAUGUUCAGGACAUUCUGUUUUGCUCAGGCUACCAGCUUGGCUGCUGGCUCGGAGAAUAUCCUUGCUCCCAAGUUAGUUCCAGUUCUGUUUAUUUCAUCCUGAGCUCCGCGAAGUUUCCAAAGCCAUCCUCUUCAAACAACACAUUUUUUUUUUUUUUUUCUGAGCUGGAGUUUAUUUUGUGCUCAGCCUUCAUUCCGUGGGUCCUGUGAAUAAUUCUAACACAAAGAAAAACUCUCCUUCUGACCCGUGAAAGGGGAGUCUGAGAAUAAAGAUAAAAAUUGCAGCUUUAAUCCAGAAAGCAAAGGG